Passer domesticus (house sparrow) is the source of this 1308-nucleotide long non-coding RNA. RefSeq lists it as uncharacterized. The transcript has 2 exons. Lineage: Eukaryota; Metazoa; Chordata; Aves; Passeriformes; Passeridae. The record is from RefSeq and is a predicted model, not a curated record.
CCCUUCCAGGCCUUGGCACAGCAACUUUGCCUUGACAAAGCUGGGAUGCGGCCGCUGACAUCACAAUAGCAGCCGCCCUAGGCUGGAUUGUGAAUUCAUGCAUAGAACCAGACCUGCUCUACACCUAAUGCCAAAAAAGCCUGCAAAGUUCUCCUCUGCUACAAAGCAACACAAAAAGCCCUCCUAGUCCAUCACCUGUUGCUCAAGGCAUGUAAGAGCAGAAACACACUGAGCCCCUAGAGCCCACACUGAGAAGCUGAGCACUGAGAAGGGACCAGGAUGAGAGAGAGGAGAGGCUUUACAAGGACUACCUCAAGAAGAGGACAUAGAAUGGAGGGAAGGCCUUCGAAAGAAUAAACAACCCUCAUGCUGCCGCUUUUGCAAGGAAUAAAUGUCCAAGUUUCUUAAUAUCCAGCCACAAAUCUGUGGAGUCUUGACAGCCAAGAAGCACAGGAACCUGGACACCUUGUUGUGAGAGACUAGAGGAGAUUGCUGGCUCAACACUUUUCAGGGGCUUGUAUGUGGGGAAGGGGGCAGAUCAAGCCUUGCUCUGGUGAGGCCAUGCCCCACUCGGCACGCCCCACACCCCCAGGCCUUUAUCCUAGCCCAGCAGCGGCCACUGAUCCCUGGCACACCAGAGGCAAUGCUCCACACCUGUGUCUGGAGCCCCUAACCCAGCUCCUAAAUGGCCAGGUGAGUGGGAGCCCCAUGUGGGGGAAGGCCCCAGGAGAGCCAAAGGCUAUUUACCUUGGGAUAUGUGGCCACCAUAUGUCUUGACCCUACCUCUUCUUGGAAUUUCUAUCAGCUGAACACCACUGGAACCAGGAGUGAUAGCUAUGUUGGUUCUUUUCUGUCAUUCUCUUUUCUCUUUCUUCUCCCUUUUCCCUCCUAUCAGAUUUUUGAAAAUAACUUAAAAUGUAACAGGUUUAGUAAUCUAAAUGUAAAUUAACUUACUAAGAUUACAAGUUGAAUGGGCUAAAUUAAUGCUUCAUAGAAUGUUUUAUGUUGAUUGAAUCCUGCUCUAAAUUAUUUUUGCCUUUAAAGUUCUCUGAUUUUCAAAUGUUGCCAGUGAAGGGUUUUGAUGUUGUUCCGAACUCUUGAGAACAUCUCGUCAGUAUUUCUCCUGCUUUUCUAACUUAGAGUACAUGAACAAGUUUAAAUCCUUUUAAAGUAUCUCAUAGAGCAACGUUUUUGGAGGCUUGCAUUUUAAUUGGCACAGCAAGCAGGGUACUCUUGAGGUGAUAUGGGCCUUUUAUACAGCAUUAACUGUUCAUGACAUAAUAAAGGAGAAAUAAAUUUUCAGUCAAA